This 223-nucleotide long non-coding RNA is filed under the name Gossypium barbadense (sea-island cotton). Its description in RNAcentral is "long non-coding RNA (GBAR_LNC020064)". Lineage: Eukaryota; Viridiplantae; Streptophyta; Magnoliopsida; Malvales; Malvaceae. The record is from RNAcentral.
UAUUUUUGGGGUCGAUUUCAACACUUAAUACACAAAUAUACACACUAGUAAGGCAUCCUCCCCCUUUCCAUCAAUUUAACACAUGCAUUGCUCAUUAACAUGCAAAGUUACAUUCGGCCUUAGCACACAACUUGCUAGCCGAUUCUUCUCCAUUUAGCAACCAAUGCACAUAUGUGCUCACACAAAAAUGCUAAAAAGGAGGUUCAAGAAUCAUCAAGUCAUC